UGGGGAAUUUUGGACAAUGGGGGAAACCCUGAUCCAGCCAUCCCGCGUGUGCGAUGAAGGCCUUCGGGUUGUAAAGCACUUUUGGCAGGAAAGAAACGUCGCGGGUUAAUACCCCGCGAAACUGACGGUACCUGCAGAAUAAGCACCGGCUAACUACGUGCCAGCAGCCGCGGUAAUACGUAGGGUGCAAGCGUUAAUCGGAAUUACUGGGCGUAAAGCGUGCGCAGGCGGUUCGGAAAGAAAGAUGUGAAAUCCCAGAGCUUAACUUUGGAACUGCAUUUUUAACUACCGGGCUAGAGUGUGUCAGAGGGAGGUGGAAUUCCGCGUGUAGCAGUGAAAUGCGUAGAUAUGCGGAGGAACACCGAUGGCGAAGGCAGCCUCCUGGGAUAACACUGACGCUCAUGCACGAAAGCGUGGGGAGCAAACAGGAUUAGAUACCCUGGUAGUCCACGCCCUAAACGAUGUCAACUAGCUGUUGGGGCCUUCGGGCCUUGGUAGCGCAGCUAACGCGUGAAGUUGACCGCCUGGGGGAGUACGGUCGCAAGAUUAAAACUCAAA
Molecule: ribosomal RNA, 558 nt
Filed under: uncultured bacterium
Lineage: Bacteria
Description: partial 16S ribosomal RNA
Rfam family: Bacterial small subunit ribosomal RNA
Source: RNAcentral